This 72-nucleotide transfer RNA is filed under the name Neotoma lepida (desert woodrat). It matches the Rfam family "tRNA". From Rfam's summary of the family: Transfer RNA (tRNA) molecules are approximately 80 nucleotides in length. Their secondary structure includes four short double-helical elements and three loops (D, anti-codon, and T loops). Lineage: Eukaryota; Metazoa; Chordata; Mammalia; Rodentia; Cricetidae. The record is from Rfam by way of RNAcentral.
AGAGAUGCAGCUCAAUGACAGAGAACCUGCCUAGCAUGCACAAGGCCCUGGGUUCGAUCCCCAGCAUCCCCA